Oxyura jamaicensis (ruddy duck) is the source of this 245-nucleotide long non-coding RNA. RefSeq lists it as uncharacterized. The transcript is spliced from 3 exons. The record is from RefSeq and is a predicted model, not a curated record. Lineage: Eukaryota; Metazoa; Chordata; Aves; Anseriformes; Anatidae.
UUGCUUUUGCCUCGCAGAUAAGGAGCGCUGCUCGGAGCUGAAGAAGUCCCUGUGCACCGCGCACGAGAAGUUCUGCUUCUGGCCAGACAGCCCCUGCCCAGACCGCUUCGCCCUGCUGCUGGUGGACGAGCCCCGCGCCCUUCUCCAGGACUUCCUGGAGCGCUUCCAGAGCCUGUGCCAGCUGGAGCUGCAGCUGCCCUCCCUCCGAGCCGAGGACAUGAAAACCACGGUGACGGGGGAGAAGA